CAGGCUUAACACAUGCAAGUCGAGGGGCAGCAUGGUCUUUUCUUGCUAAGGCCGAUGGCGACCGGCGCACGGGUGAGUAACACGUAUCCAACCUGCCGUCUACUCUUGGACAGCCUUCUGAAAGGAAGAUUAAUACAAGAUGGCAUCAUGAGUCCGCAUGUUCACAUGAUUAAAGGUAUUCCGGUAGACGAUGGGGAUGCGUUCCAUUAGAUAGUAGGCGGGGUAACGGCCCACCUAGUCUUCGAUGGAUAGGGGUUCUGAGAGGAAGGUCCCCCACAUUGGAACUGAGACACGGUCCAAACUCCUACGGGAGGCGGCAGUGAGGAAUAUUGGUCAAUGGGCGAGAGCCUGAACCAGCCAAGUAGCGUGAAGGAUGACUGCCCUAUGGGUUGUAAACUUCUUUUAUAAAGGAAUAAAGUCGGGUAUGGAUACCCGUUUGCAUGUACUUUAUGAAUAAGGAUCGGCUAACUCCGUGCCAGCAGCCGCGGUAAUACGGAGGAUCCGAGCGUUAUCCGGAUUUAUUGGGUUUAAAGGGAGCGUAGAUGGAUGUUUAAGUCAGUUGUGAAAGUUUGCGGCUCAACCGUAAAAUUGCAGUUGAUACUGGAUAUCUUGAGUGCAGUUGAGGCAGGCGGAAUUCGUGGUGUAGCGGUGAAAUGCUUAGAUAUCACGAAGAACUCCGAUUGCGAAGGCAGCCUGCUAAGCUGCAACUGACAUUGAGGCUCGAAAGUGUGGGUAUCAAACAGGAUUAGAUACCCUGGUAGUCCACACGGUAAACGAUGAAUACUCGCUGUUUGCGAUAUACAGCAAGCGGCCAAGCGAAAGCGUUAAGUAUUCCACCUGGGGAGUACGCCGGCAACGGUGAAACUCAAAGGAAUUGACGGGGGCCCGCACAAGCGGAGGAACAUGUGGUUUAAUUCGAUGAUACGCGAGGAACCUUACCCGGGCUUAAAUUGCAGAUGAAUUACGGUGAAAGCCGUAAGCCGCAAGGCAUCUGUGAAGGUGCUGCAUGGUUGUCGUCAGCUCGUGCCGUGAGGUGUCGGCUUAAGUGCCAUAACGAGCGCAACCCUUGUUGUCAGUUACUAACAGGUUCCGCUGAGGACUCUGACAAGACUGCCAUCGUAAGAUGUGAGGAAGGUGGGGAUGACGUCAAAUCAGCACGGCCCUUACGUCCGGGGCUACACACGUGUUACAAUGGGGGGUACAGAGGGCCGCUACCACGCGAGUGGAUGCCAAUCCCCAAAACCUCUCUCAGUUCGGACUGGAGUCUGCAACCCGACUCCACGAAGCUGGAUUCGCUAGUAAUCGCGCAUCAGCCACGGCGCGGUGAAUACGUUCCCGGGCCUUGUACACACCGCCCGUCAAGCCAUGGGAGCCGGGGGUACCUGAAGUGCGUAACCGCGAGGAGCGCCCUAGGGUAAAACUGGUGACUGG
Molecule: ribosomal RNA, 1431 nt
Filed under: uncultured organism
Description: 16S ribosomal RNA
Rfam family: Bacterial small subunit ribosomal RNA
Source: RNAcentral